AGUAGCUUUUAAAGCUGGGCCUUAGUGGGACUCUAAAUGCAAUGAAAGCAGUCUGUGUUGAGAGACUGAAAUGCAUUUCAAAGCCAGGCCUGAUUCGGGGUACAAGGAAGAACAGACCUAUGUGCAUUUUGUAGGAAGAAAACUGUGAAUGGAAAAAGGAGAAGGGGAGAGAAACGGGGGAAAUCUGGAUAAUACAUUAAAGUAACCAUAAUUUUGGAGAUGCAUUCAUCUUAUUGAAAAUAUGUACGUAACCAGUGAUACCGAAGUCGGAUAUUUGCUCAAUCAGGAUGCUCAACAAUUUGAGCCUUUAAAGUUUGGAGCUGCAUGGGUUUGUGGAGAAAGUCGGCUCGUGAUAUUUCCUCAUGGUUGUGAUUCCUCUUCACUCUUUUGAAUUUGGAAGGAUGGCAUACACAUCUGAAAAAUACCACUACUUCCUUCAUUGGACUGCAAGGUAUUUCUGUUUGGAAAAGUAAUGGAGUCCAGUCAACUUCAUUGAUCGCCAAGGACUGUCAAAAUUAUAAAACUUGCUGUGGAGCUCUGACAUGCCAGAAGCCGCUAGAAAAAGAAGUUUGACAUUCAGAAACUUAUCAAGAGGUUCUACUCUUUGGAUAGAGACCAAAAUCAUACUUUGAAAAAGCCUGACAGGUUUCUUCGGAAAAGUGGCCAUCCAUGGAAUGAAUGAAAUGUUCUCUUUCUAUUCCAGGGAUUGCAGUGGCAAAGCUAGGCUAGGUCUUGGAGGCUGGUGUAAGGCGAUGUGGGUGAAGGCAGGAGGCUGAUGGAAAGACUGGGGGGAAGAAAAGCCGAAAUGGAUUCACGGUGCCUUGGAUGAAGGACGAGAGGGGAACUGCAAGCUCCUUCAACUGGUUCUGUCCGGUGAGAAGUGAUCAAGCUUGGGCUGACAAGAGGCUCAGGGAGCCCUCACGUUCUUUCGCUUUUUUACCUGCCAAUCAAACUGCUACAAGACAACACCCUGAUCUGGCAUGGACAUAUCCAACUUAGAAAUAAUGUUUCAUUCAAGAUAAGGCUCGUGGCUUAGGAGAUUGUGACCUGGCUUGCAUCAUUCUAAGACUUCUAUCGUCUGUUUUCAAAACCCAAGGAGGACCUCCUUUUCUGUGUGAUAGUUCCUCAUGCUUUGCCAGCCACUGGGUCUUUAAGGAAGCUUGCCAAGAGUUCCCGGCUGGGAAGGACAGUUCGAGUUCAUCAUAGACAAUGAGCUGGCACCACAGUUUAAGUGACUCACCAACCUGGUUGCCCACUUCAAAAUGUCAAGAACCACACUAUCUAAUUGAAAGAACUGUGUUUUAGCAAAGUGUAAUUGGAUCGCCUGGCAAGAUCAUCUCAAACUAUGUCUCUGACCUUGCCUUUCAGUGGCUAUUUUGAGCACAAGAGGAGAAAGGAAAUGAUUCCUGAAUUAUAUCUUGUUUUUAAAAAUUAAGAUUAAUUAAUACUUGGUUUUAUGUUCAUUCCAUUGUAGGAACUUAGUGAUUAUUACAAAACAGUCAAAAUAGGUCAUAGCAAAAUGAACGUUUAAGAUUAGGUUAAAACAUUCCUCUGAAAUUUUAGUAUUCACUUUUGAAGUGUCAAUUACUAUAUUUCUGUAAUUUCUCAUUUUUUUCUUGGCUUAGAGUCAAGAUGAAAAAUGAUAUUUGAAUCAAAGACAUUGUUUUGUUAUAUAGCCACUCCUUUCUAAAAUGCAAAUCCACCCUCCCCUCACCAAUGCUUUAUUCUUUGUGCGCGCACACACACACACACACACACACACACACACACACACACACAGACAUACACAGAACCAGCACCCAAAUGGUAGAGGAGGUCCUUCCAAGACUUCUAGGACCUGGAUCAUGUAAGCAGUAGAUGAGAAAAUGAAGUAAGAGAUAUAGAGUAAUAACAAUAAAAGUCAAUGAUUUCAUUUUACAAAAAAGUCAUUGUGUAGUACUCAGAUAUUUUUAAGAGCAAGUAUUAUUAUGACUAAAGUAUAUUAUACUUCUAAAUUAUUAUGAUUCUCAUCUAAUUUCAAGCCACACAUAGGCGCCAUUUGAAAGCAUUUUGUGUUACAACCUAUCAACAAAAAUCAACUAAUAGUUUUAUAACGUGCAUAGGUUUACCCCAUGGGGAAUUAAAAUUUUUAUCUGCAAGUAUUUCUGUUGUUGUGAGACUUUAGGACAAGACAACAUUUGGUGUUAACAUAGAAGAAUAUUCUAUGGCUUUUUUAGCUUUAAAGUUCAUUACUCUAAAAUAAAGUACACGUGGUAUUUUUUUCUUCCUAGUGUUCUCUUAUUAUAUGUAGAGUAUUUUCGGUUGUUGUUUUUAACGUAUACAUUAUUUUUAUUAAGUCAUUUCAUAAAAGAUAAGAUAUAUACUAAUAGACCCUUGGUUUUCUCCUAAUUUAAUUAUUUCAAGUCAAGCAAAAUUGGGCAAUUUUCUUUCAGGAAAAAAAAAAUAUUGAGCAUGAUUUUGAGGUAAAACUGAUUAUUUACAGCAUCUUUUCUCUAAUAGGCUAACAUUUAUGAUGGAUCUUAUUUCAAAGUUGAUUAUUCUCAAAGAAAAGUGGAGAUAUUAGAAUUUCCGAGUAAAUUGCAUUGUUUUAAAAAGUACUUUAAUGCAUUGUUCACAUUGUUGCCAGCUAUUGACCAAAAAAGAGAAGAAGAAAAAAGAAAUAAAAAAAGCAGUAUCUGCUCCAAACGUCAAGUUUUGCAGUUUGAAAGACUUGUACAUUAUAAUUGUUUUUUUCUUUUUUGGAAAGCAGUAGUAAUUAAUACCAAAGGCAUAGACAAUUUAGGGCCAUAACCUCCCUUCCCCCCUCUCCACCUUUUUUUUUUUUUUUUUUUUUUUUUAACUUUAACCAUGAUAGGCAUCUCUGCAAGGUAGGUUUUAACAUAUUUUUUUCCUAAUUUUUUUCCCUCCAUUCAGUAAGAAGGAUAAGCUUUUAGAGUACCCAGUCACCGUGGUAACUGCCAAAAAAAUUCUCCUGAAGUUUGAAGAGGUCAGCUAGCAGGGUCAACAACCCUGGCCUCUCUCUGAGCUCGGUCUAGCAUGCCCCAGCCUGCGGUUGGAGUGUCAGGCCAGAUCUGACCCUGGGAGGUGGACCAUUCUGGCUCUGAUAUAAAUUUUUCGAGUCAGUUCAUGGCCUGGACUCUCCAGGUGGCCUCCAAAAUCGAUUUUGACCCCCUGACCCUGUCUCACGGAGGCAUAGCAUCCACCCUAAGUAAGGAUUUAGCCAGGAAUGACAGCUUUCCACUGAGUGUUAUUGGGGACAGUAUAAACAGUUUGGAAAGCAAGUAAGGAGGUGUGAGGGCUAGCAAUCAUUAAAAGCACAUUAAAAAACAAUUUUUAAAAAUCUUUAUUAGAGAAAGUUGUAAAUGCAUAUCUGUUACAGAAUUCCUGUGAUUUGUAGAGUUUUCUAGUCAGUUUUGAAUAUAAAUAGGUCACAUAUCUUUAUCUUUUUGCAUACUUUGUUACAAAUAUGCAAAUAAGAUAGGCAUACUUGCUACAAAAUAGGUACAGCAGGAAUGUAAUAUGUUCAGAAAAGGCAAACUGGUUAUUAAAACACAUUAACAGGUAAGGAGUUUCUAAUAUUUUAAAUACUAAAAUUUUACAUGUGUAUUUUGAAGUUUUUAAAAUGGAAAAAUAAAGAACCUUUAAAAAACCCAACAGUGUGGAAUAAAGAUAAACUUGUUGCACUCAAGGUACAUUUCUACUUUGUAAAGCAAGAAGCCAAUACACUCAGUUGGAUAAAAAUGAGAGAAAAAUUGUAAAUAUAGAGAGUUACAGCUUAUAGAGCUGAAGAGGAAUAAAACAAAAAAAAGUGUCUCUGAAUAACUUUAUGUAUUUUCAACAGUUUAAGAUAUCAGAAACUUGGAAAAUA
This 3868-nucleotide long non-coding RNA is filed under the name Homo sapiens (human). RNAcentral describes it as "SOX2 overlapping transcript". The stretch from base 713 to 988 matches the Rfam family "SOX2 overlapping transcript exon 3". The record is from RNAcentral. Lineage: Eukaryota; Metazoa; Chordata; Mammalia; Primates; Hominidae.